Molecule: long non-coding RNA, 5713 nt
Filed under: Ananas comosus (pineapple)
Lineage: Eukaryota; Viridiplantae; Streptophyta; Magnoliopsida; Poales; Bromeliaceae
Description: long non-coding RNA (ACOM_LNC031683)
Source: RNAcentral
AUUAAUAAUCUAAUUGCAAGAAAUAAAAAAGUUGAGGACCAAGAUAAAGAGUAUGUAAUGAUUGGGGACCAUCGGUGCAAUUAACCCUUGUCAAAAUGAUCGUAAAUAUUUGGACAGGAAUGCCAUAUCGGCAGCUUGACUAUCAAGACCAAACUAAAAAAAUUUGAAAAAAAAUUAUAAACCAAUAGUAAAUUUAAUUCUAAAGAUUAAAAAUCUAAUUGCAAGAAAUAAAAUAGUUGGGGGCCAAGAUAAAAUGUAUGUAAUGAUUGGGGACCAUAUGUGCAAUUAACCCUUGUCAAAAUGAUCGCAAAUAUUUGGACAUGAAUGUCAUAUCGGCAGCUUGACUAUCAAGACCAAACUAAAAAAAUUUGAAAAAAAAAAUUAUGGACCAAUAGUAAAUUUAAUUCUAAAGAUUAAAAAUCUAGUUGCAAGAAAUAAAAAAGUUGGGGACCAAGAUAAAAAGUAUGUAAUGAUUGGGGACCAUCGGUGCAAUUAACUCUUGUCAAAAUGAUCGUAAAUAUUUGGACAGGAAUGUCAUAUCGGCAGCUUGACUAUCAAGACCAAACUAAAAAAAUUGGAAAAAAAAUUAUGGACCAAUAGGAAAUUUAAUUCUAAAUAUUAAAAAUCUAAUUGCAAGAAAAAAAAUAGUUGGGGACCAAGAUAAAAUGUAUGCAAUGAUUGGGGACCAUCUGUGCAAUUAACCCUUGUCAAAAUGAUCGCAAAUAUUUGGACAUGAAUGUCAUUUCGGCAGCUUGACUAUCAAGACCAAACUAAAAAAAUUUGAAAAAAAAAUUAUGGACCAAUAGUAAAUUUAAUUCUAAAGAUUAAAAAUCUAGUUGCAAGAAAUAAAAAAGUUGGGUAUCAAGAUAAAAAGUAUGUUAUGAUUGGGGACCAUCGGUGCAAUUAACCCUUGUCAAAAUGAUCGUAAAUAUUUGGACAGGAAUGUCAUAUCGGCAGCUUGACUAUCAAGACCAAACUAAAAAAGUUUGAAAAAAAAAUUAUGGACCAAUAGUAAAUUUAAUUCUAAAGAUUAAAAAUCUAGUUGCAAGAAAUAAAAAAGUUGGGGACCAAGAUAAAAAGUAUGUAAUGAUUGGGGACCAUUGGUGCAAUUAACCCUUGUCAAAAUGAUCACAAAUAUUUGGGCAGGAAUGUCAUAUUGGCAGCUUGUCUAUUAAGACCAAACUAAAAAAUUUUGGAAAAGUUUAUGGGCCAAUAGUAAAAUUAAUUCUGAAGAUUAAAAAUGUCACGCUUCGGAUUACAAUGUCUUUCCGGGCACGCCAACAGACCCGUCGUAUACAUAAAAUUUUUUUCUGUAUACGAAAUGAUAGCUGCACCUGUAAACAAAAUCAAGCUACAACCACAAGGUAAAGAGCUGCUAAACUGAAUAUAAACAUAUAUAUAAAAAGCUCGAGGGGUUCCUGUACAUACAAAAUGUCUACAAUCCACCUUGCUCCAGCAACUGCAACGACAACAUCGCAGUAUGUACAAAAAAGCCCAAAACUACCUCUGGAUAGGUGCUCCUCUAGUUGGCAAUCAGGGAAGGGAUGGCUCUAACUCGCGACUCUCUUGCCUUGGUCGAAAUCCACAACAGCAGCAGUCACGGACGAAGGCUCUGCAAAAACGGGUCAACAACUGAGUGUGAGAACUAUUAUAAAACAAGUAGUCCUCAGUGGGUAUCGCCACCGACCUCAAUGGCUUACCCACUAAGUCUACAGAAAUAUGUGUAAGGGAUAGUAAUGCAAAUUGGAAAGAACUGUACAGCUACAUGCUACUAUACUACCGCUAAUCACUACGAGCUAUCUGUAGAUAUAGAAAUACAUCCUCUGACCCAAUCUCACUAGGGACUGCGAUACGCCCAUCCCGCUUGUCGAAACUAUCCUGUACACCACCCCGAGGGUAGCCGGUGGAGAAAAUCUCUCUGGGGACUGCGGUACGUUCGUCCCGCCUGUCUAGGCUACACUGUACACCACCUUGAGAAUAGCCGGUGGAGAAAUCUCUCCAGGGACUGCGAUACGCCCGUCCCGCCUGUCUAGGCUACACCGUACACCACCUCGAGAAUAGCCGGUGGAGAAAACUCUCUAGGGACUGCGAUACGCCCGUCCCGCUUGUCUAGGCUACACCGUACACCACGUCGAGAGUAGCCGGUGGAGAAAACUCUCUAGGGACUGCAAUAUGCCCGUGCCGCCUGUCUAGGCUACACCGUACACCAUCUCGAGAGUAGCCGGUGGAGAAAACUCUCUAGGUACUGCGAUACGCCUGUCCCGCCUGUCUAGGCUAUACCAUACACCAUCUCGAGAGUAGUCUGUCUAAGUAACAGGUUCGACAGGACUGUUGCGACUUAACACACGUCACAACCUCACUGAGGGUAGAGAAUCACUAACUAUCACUGACCCAACCUUACACGGGCUGCCCAAACGGACCCACCCUGCUUGUAUCCAGCUCAAGAACCAUCCAAACAAAAACUGCGACCUCAUCGCAUGAAACCUCAUUCCGGAAUGGCAUUCGUGAGUGCGACCCAACUGAGUUUACAAGUGUCUCUGCCGAGUUCAACCAGGCUCUCACAAACUGUAAUCACUGUAACUGGGUCAAACUAAUCUAUCCACUAGAACUCACGUGCCUUGGUAUAAUCUGAUGCAAAAUACAGAAAUCCGGGUUCACCGUCAACCACGACGGCACCCAACAGUACGAAACAGUCUACACCCUACUGUAAAACAAACUCGGCAUCCCAGCACGAGCAUAAACUCAUCCUACCCUAAUCUGGGUAUCCACCGCAUACGAAUAGCGGCGAUACAAAAGAAUCACAGCUCCUAAAGCUAAAUCUGGUAAUUUUUCAGAAAAAAUGACAGUGAAGGAUUUAGAGUGUUUUCUCUUAAGUCAAUUCCAAGUCCAACAUGUAUACAAACACUAGUUUAACUCCAAAUUCAGAUUUUUUAGGCUCUAACAAACAAAUUCCAUGAAUUCGAGUACUAGCAAAGAAAUAAAACCAAUGAAACAUAUCGAUGAUGCUAGAACUUAGGAGGAAAUUCGACGAUUUCGGUAAACAUUAACCCACCUCGAAAAGCUUGUCCAACAACAACGAGAAAUCAAAAGGAGAGAAUCCACGCGCUCGCCUGGCCUCCAACGGCGCAACCACAAUGCCCACGCGCUCGAACGGCCCUUCGGAUCAACAUCAACAACCUCUCGGGCUCGAGCCGCGACCUCCACCACGAGCACGUCCAAAAACUAGAGAGAGAGUGGGAGCAGCAAACAAACCCUCUUCUCAGAGCUCUAUACAAAUACAUAGAGGCUGAGAAUAAGGUUGAGAUUAUCGACACUUCAAAAGACCAAACUAUCCCUUAUCUACUCAAAAAUUCAGCUGGUGUACCGAUACUCUAUUUGAAUACCGGUACUUAGGCCUUCAGCCCGCAGGUUUGCACACUAGGUACCGGUACCAGCCCGAUACAGUACCGGUACCUGAGCUCGAUACCGGUACUCAAAGACAGGUACCAGUACUCAGCAUCAGCCUCGCGCGAACCCAAGAGCAUCCUAUUUUGUAAUUCCACCGGGGUACUAGUACACCUCUUUGAUACCGGUACUCAACACUAAAAUCCUGCACUUUGCGGAUUUCAGUGUCAGAACUCCACCCUCGCUUCCCGUUGAGUUCGUUUUGCGUCCAUUCCGCGUCAAAACGACUCCGACUUGUCCCGACACUCUCCAGAUGUGUCGACAAGUAUCAGAUGCUAAAAUCUCACAAGCAUCCAAACACCAUGGACACUACAAAAAAAAUCUAAUUGCAAGAAAUAAAAAAGUUGGGGACUAAGAUAAAAGUAUGUAAUGGAUGGGGACCUUCGGUGCAAUUAACUCUUGUCAAAAUGAUCGCAAAUAUUUGAACAGAAAUAUGAUAUCGGCAGCUUGGUUAUCAAAAUUACCCUAUUUAUCCCCUAAGUUUUGCGCAAUAUUUUAAUUUAAUCACAUCCUUUUAAUUUUUACAAUGGCUUUCUAAAAUUUAUUAUUUGUUUCAAUCAAAUCCUUUCUGUCAAAAUAACUAUUAAUUUGAAUCAAAAUUGUCACUUCACUAUAUACCAAUUUUUAUUUAUCAUGUUGGUGCCAAAACCUUUCCACGCGGUGAUAUAAUCUCUGUUACUUUUUGACAAAAAGAUCUUGAUUGAGACAAGUGACUCAAUUAUAAAAAUUGGAAGAUUGAGAUCUGAGGGUGAAAAGAAAAAAAAAUCAAGUAAAAUUUAGGAUUCACUGAUGUAAUUGAUCCUAUAAUUAUUGACAUGGAUGAAUUAACCGAUUGAUCCCUGAAUAUUAGUUAUGCUUUAAUUUUGUCUCUAAAUUUGAUUUGUUGUAUCAGAGUUAUAAAAAAAAUCAAAUAAUUUUGCAUUUAGACCUUUGAUUAUCAAUUUUCAUUGUGUACAGAAAUUUAAUAUGGUUUGUAUAAAUUACUUUUUCGUAGUCCCUAAAUCCAUUAAAAAGAAGAAGAAGAAGAAAAUGGAGCAUUAUGUGUCCUUUUUCACAUGCAUGGUGUGGAAUACUUAGUUGACAUGUGACAUUUUUUUUUUUUUUUUUUGUUUCUUAAGAUGAAAAUCUACAGGUACUUUUAUUGAUCCGUAAAUAAAAAUGUACACGAAAAAAAAUAUAGGAAGGCAAAGUAGAUCGUUAACUAAAUACAUAUAGAAAAGUGUCCUAAAAAAUUAAAGAGAUAUGCAGAGACAAAUGCACGACUCUAUUAACCUCUAAAGAAAAUUCAAUGCAACUAUAACCAAUUAGCGCAAAUCAAAAAUUUAGAUGAGGGAGAAAGAGAAAGGGAAAGGCGGUAUGGUCAAUUAAACUUGGAUUAGAGCAAUUUGCUCAUUUUUCACCCUUGUAAUAUAGCAAAGAUUAAACCUCAAAGUAAAACAUAAAAAAUAGAUUGGGUACCAAUAGUGUGAAUUUAACUAAUUUUUUUUGCCUAAUGGAGCAGUUUAAUUUUGAUAAAUUCUUUAGUUAAACGGGAAAAAGUUAUUCAAAUCAAAUUUCAAAAAAAAAUUGCCAUAAUUUUGGUAAGGGCGGUUUCUAGAGUAAGACCGUUUCAUUUUCAUCAGCUGCUUUCUGUUAUGCAAAUAUCAUGAGUCUCAAUAUUGCGUGAAGAAAUGAAUAAAAAGGGGGGGUCAUAUUGGAUGAGUCCGACUACUGCUAUAUUUUUAUGAGUACGAUCACCUUUAUACUCAUAAGUCAUUUUUAAGAAUAAAGCUUUUGAAUCGACGAUCCAUACCGCUAAACAUUACUAGAGCAUUUAAAACUUUUAGAAAUCAAAUUUUAUAAUUUUUUUAUAUUAUUUUUCUUACGAUCAAAAGUUCUUAAAAUUGACAAUUUUUAAUGGCCGGUACGAAAUACUUGCUAGUUUAACGGCAUAAAAGAAUGAAAAUCGGUUGAAUUUUUGACAAAAAAAUUUAUUGACUAUUUAGAUAAAGAUCAAUAACUUUGAUUUUAAAUUAAAGUAUCCGAUCAUCAAUUUUUAGGAUGUCGUUCAAUUUUGACCAUUUAUUUUAUGCCCGCUAAAAUUUCGAAAAAUUACGAAAUUUAUUUUCUAAAAUUUUUAAAUAAUUUUGAUCAUAUUUAACAGUGUGGAUUAUCGAUUUGGAAGCUUCAUUAUUGAAAACAACUUAUGAGUAUGAAGGAUUUUUUUUUUCAUAAGAGUACAGUAGCCCCACUCCAUAUUGGAAAUCAUCUUCUCCGAAUUUUCUUUUUC